Long non-coding RNA from Ochotona princeps (American pika), 286 nucleotides. RefSeq lists it as uncharacterized. NCBI's taxonomy places the organism in Eukaryota, Metazoa, Chordata, Mammalia, Lagomorpha, Ochotonidae. The transcript has 3 exons. The record is from RefSeq and is a predicted model, not a curated record.
CAGGCAGGGACCUGCUGUCUGUCCCAACGGCUCCACUGUCAAUCCCCCACUAGGGGUGUACCGGCUGAGGCCUGAGAACCCCAUUCGUGUUCCCGCAGAAGCAAUCAGGGCUACCCAGCCCUGCAGCCCAGCUUGGGAGCCCAGCCAUAGCGUGCCCACGUCUGAGAGCAAGCCAAGUACGGGAAGCGACAGAACACACAGGAACCCAAGCGAGGAAUGGUCCAGGAGAGCAGCAGCGAUUGCUGAUGCAAGAGAAAGGAGAGACUGGCCGGAGCCAAAUCCCCAC